RNAcentral lists this ribosomal RNA (236 nucleotides) under uncultured bacterium. RNAcentral describes it as "partial 16S ribosomal RNA". It matches the Rfam family "Bacterial small subunit ribosomal RNA", at positions 1256 to 1500 of the family's 1533-position model. The record is from RNAcentral.
AGCAAUGGGAUGCGAAUCUCGAAAGCCUGUCUCAGUUCGGAUUGGAGGCUGAAACCCGCCUCCAUGAAGUUGGAUUCGCUAGUAAUCGCGCAUCAGCCAUGGCGCGGUGAAUACGUUCCCGGGCCUUGUACACACCGCCCGUCAAGCCAUGGGAGCCGGGGGUGCCUGAAGUGCGUGAGCGCAAGCAGCGCCCUAAGGUAAAACCGGUGACUGGGGCUAAGUCGUAACAAGGUAAC